AUGCUUACUUCCACAGCACAUAUACUAAAAUUGGAACAAAACAGAGAUUAGCAUGAACCCUGCUCAAGGAUGACAUUCAAAUUUGUGAAGCAUUCCACAUUUUU
This is a small nuclear RNA of Sarcophilus harrisii (Tasmanian devil), 104 nucleotides long. The record is from Ensembl. NCBI's taxonomy places the organism in Eukaryota, Metazoa, Chordata, Mammalia, Dasyuromorphia, Dasyuridae.